GACGAACGCUGGCGGCGUGCCUAAUACAUGCAAGUAGAACGCUGAAGGAGGAGCUUGCUCUUCUGGAUGAGUUGCGAACGGGUGAGUAACGCGUAGGUAACCUGCCUGGUAGCGGGGGAUAACUAUUGGAAACGAUAGCUAAUACCGCAUAACAGUAGAUGUUGCAUGACAUUUACUUAAAAGGUGCAAUUGCAUCACUACCAGAUGGACCUGCGUUGUAUUAGCUAGUUGGUGGGGUAACGGCUCACCAAGGCGACGAUACAUAGCCGACCUGAGAGGGUGAUCGGCCACACUGGGACUGAGACACGGCCCAGACUCCUACGGGAGGCAGCAGUAGGGAAUCUUCGGCAAUGGACGGAAGUCUGACCGAGCAACGCCGCGUGAGUGAAGAAGGUUGUCGGAUCGUAAAGCUCUGUUGUAAGAGAAGAACGAGUGUGAGAGUGGAAAGUUUACACUGUGACGGUAUCUUACCAGAAAGGGACGGCUAACUACGUG
RNAcentral lists this ribosomal RNA (495 nucleotides) under uncultured bacterium. RNAcentral's name for it is "partial 16S ribosomal RNA". It matches the Rfam family "Bacterial small subunit ribosomal RNA", at positions 28 to 507 of the family's 1533-position model. The record is from RNAcentral.